AGCUUUGCACAGUGGCAGUACCGUAGCCAAUGAGGUUUAUCCAAGGCGCAGUUAUUGCUAAUUGAAUCGUAUUGACAAAUGACAAAUGUAAAAAAUGUGUAAUUUUUGUUGGUGGAGUUUUUUCUGAAAA
This 130-nucleotide small nuclear RNA is filed under the name Suricata suricatta (meerkat). RNAcentral's name for it is "U4 spliceosomal RNA (ENSSSUG00005018709.1)". It matches the Rfam family "U4 spliceosomal RNA". Rfam says of the family: U4 small nuclear RNA (U4 snRNA) is a component of the major U2-dependent spliceosome. The structure of U4 snRNA from yeast and human has been reported. U4 snRNA presents a k-turn RNA motif in the 5p-SL related to recognition of Snu13 protein. The record is from Rfam by way of RNAcentral. Lineage: Eukaryota; Metazoa; Chordata; Mammalia; Carnivora; Herpestidae.